This 4137-nucleotide long non-coding RNA is filed under the name Ananas comosus (pineapple). RNAcentral describes it as "long non-coding RNA (ACOM_LNC040514)". The record is from RNAcentral. Lineage: Eukaryota; Viridiplantae; Streptophyta; Magnoliopsida; Poales; Bromeliaceae.
CAACCCACCUCAUUUCGCAUUCCGAUUGCUUGUCGACACUUGCAAUCGGCCGCCCGCAGCACCCGUAACCCGGUUUGGCCCGAUCUCUCGCGCGACCACCCGAACGGCCUCCAAUUCACGAUCCGAAAAUUAAAGGUCUUCGGUUAUGUGCCACGAUGCCUCAAAUCCGUUUUCAUGGGUUUACGAUAUCGCCUCGGCCCUCCGGGCGGAAACGAAGCCUAAACGUCCGUUUCUUUAAUAACUUUACAACGGCUCGACGGAUCGCCGAACCGACUUCGCCAACGCGUUCGUUUACCUAGCAAUUUGGUUUACGAAGGGUCAAAUGAGAUCAAACCCUCAUAUUUUAUAAAACCCCAUUUUCUAAACCUAACAUGAAUUAAUCUCCAAAUAAUCCAAAUUAAAUAGAGCAAACAUGUUUAGAAUGCUCAUUAGAGGCUAUUAGAACACUUAAAACCAAGGAUUAAGCCAAAUCCUAAAAGCUUACCUCAAUGUGAACACCGCGACGAAAACACGCCGCUCCAACGGGCGCACGAAAGCUCAAUCCGUCGCCUCCAACGCGUUCGCAAGCAUCUUCUCCACCAACCCUCCAAUUUUUAGAAAGAGAUAUAGAGAGAUGAGAGAGAUAUCUAGAGAGAGGGAGAGGUGUUUCUCUCUCUAUCUCCAUGCGUGCGUGUGUGUGUGCUCGGGUGUGUGCGGCUGAAGGAGAAGAAGAAGCAUCAGCUUCUUUAUAAUACCCCUCAAGCACUAUUCACUCCCGGGCAGCUUAAAAUCUGAUAUCUUUCGCCGGAACUCCCUGAACAUCCGUUUGAGCUCAAACUUGACAGUCAUGGUCGGUUUUACUUAACUUAACAAGCUGACGAUCACUGGUUCAGUUUCGACCCCGUUCGGUCACCGAAAACUGUACCGAACUGUAAUCUUUAACAGAUAGCUGUGGGAUUUUAUUUCCCACCUUCCGGGUGUCAGAAAAAUACAAAACUUUAAAUCUAGCCUCAUAAAAAUAUUUCUGACUUAUCCUCCAAUUUUCAUAAUUUUCUGAGACUAUGCAUUUUCUGCUAAUCUAUCUGUCCCGUUUCCAACAGAAAAUUCUAAAUCUUCUGUUUUCAUUCCGAUUUCAGCACAAGUCACUUCUGACUUAUGUUUAACUCCUCUACAUCCAAUAAAAAUAGUAUCUCACACUAUUUUUUAUUUAUUUAUUAUUUUUAUACCAAAAUCUAGUAUGUUACAUUCUCCACCCCUUAAAAGAAUUUCGUCCGCGAAAUUCAAACCACGCCUCAAUUCAGCUCCGCGAGCAAUUGAGUGUAUCAACUCAUUCUCCCACUCCAGAGCGGCUUCACAUAAUCGUGGUUUCAGAAGCGGCUCAUACUGAAGGACGUGGGUUUAAUCCUAGACACAUUUGCAAGGUGUGAUACAAAAGUGCAUCACGAGUCUUGCAGGUCGUAGUGGCAGCGCAAGUCGGUACUCAACGACUCUACACGCUCCAACACCACUCUCCAUUCGGUACACAAAGAACUCUUCUUUGCACUGGCCUUCCCUUUUGGGAAUACAUUCCGAUUCGAUCACCGACAUUGCUUAGAAGCAAUAUCACCGGUGCAUCGCUCCGUCGUGGGUGCUCUAAUUUCGCACUGACCCUUAACUUUAACGUGAGAUGGCCCACCUAGGCACCUCUCAAGUCUUAGUUCGUUCACGGGCAUAGUCUCCACAAUCACGUGGCUUUCCACUAGCUCAAGGUCUCACCAAGAGCACUUCAUCUUCUGAUACCAUAUGCCACGGUCAACAUCGAAUUACUUUCGCAACGAGCUCACAUGAAUGCUUUGUUCGUGAAUUCGAGUCAAACUCCUCGAUAAGGCUAUCCGCCAAAUCACUCUCCUUGGUCUCCACAGGUGGACCAAAGGUCACCAAUCCUACGUAGGCCUACCGCCUAAACCUGUCUCAAUACGCAGCGUCUCUCGCUCGCAAAUGCAGACCCAAUCAUCAUCGGGCGAAAUUCUCACUUGGGAAUUCGCACACACUCCAACCAGGAGCAACUAAGACCCCAAACCAUGUCAAGUCCUCGGGUUGGGUCACAACCGUUCUCAGUGUACCAUUGGUCACACAAUCUAUCACGUGGCAUUCCACGCUCCCGGGUCUAAGCUCGGACUACCGUCCUGACCAGAACUCUGCCCUACCAGUAGGUACCGGGCCGCUGUCACUCACAGCUGACUGCGCCUGCCCAAAGGGCCCAGGCUCCACAGUCCACAAAUGGUCCAGGCACGGGUCGUCCCCAAGCACUACCCGCCGUCGUCGUCCUACACGACAUACUCUACCGAAUCAUACGUGCCAAUAUCGGCUCCUAUGCACCUAGUGCGAGUCACCAGUCCCACGAGUGAUCCAUGGCACGCUUCACACCUAGCAAUGCUCAAGUGCUACUGCCAAUACACUCUCUCGGCUGAAUCCACAUCCGCACUCUACGGGUAUCUACACUCGAGCGCUCUACGCCUCUACAGCGUUCCACACGAAGUCCAGUGUUAGGCAAUUCUUGCCUAUGCACGCCGACAACACAAGCACGACCCACCUACCUCACAUCGAGGUACUAUUAGGCCCACGUGCUCAAACUUGGCCACUAAUCGACCGUUCUCUCCACAGUGACGCUACUUUCACUGUUCAAUCUACUUUCAUUGUUCGAUCUACCGAAAUGACAUCCGAAAUUUUUUGGACCACUCGGGUGUUCUCAUAUGCAUCAUGGCUCAACUCUCGCAAUCUACUAAUUCAGUUGCUCUGAGAGUCGAUUCGCCACUUCUGUCACUACCGCGAGUCUCUACCGCGAGUCUCACUUCUCGCCAUAGAUUACUUCUAGCACUUCGCUAGUGCCAUCUGGCUCUAUACCUGUACUGGCAGGUACUACGCCCUCACAUAUUACAAAACUCCAUUUCUAGAGCAAUCAAACCUAUCUCUAGAAAUCCACCAUGAGAAAGCUUAGAAGCUUACCUCUCCAAGAAGCUCCAACCAAGGAGAAGAUGAAGAAGAUGAGGAAGACCUCCUUCUCCUUCUUUUUCUUUCCUUUUCUUUCUUCUUUCUCUUCUUGUCUUCUAGAGAGAGAAAGAGAGAUAUGAGAGGGUGUGUGGGUGAGAAAUGAGAGAAAAGAGCUCUCAUACUCCUCACAUAGCCCCACAUGUUGCAUAAGUGCAAAUAAGCCCCUCAACUUUCACUCUUUUACACUGCCUUGACUGGGCAAUUUUUGUGCUGAGGGACCGGUCUCUCCCCGCCGGGGAUCGGUCCCCGAGAGCUUCUCCCGCAAUCUGCAGAGCUCACGCCCGAUGCAUCCGGUCUCCCCCGAUGGGACCGGUCUCUUGGGGACCGGUCUCUCCCUGUAGGGACUGGUUCCCGAGAGCUGUCCACCGGGGACUUAACCGAUUUUUCCUCUCUUUCGCUGUCUGCGCGUGCAGGGACCGGUCUCUCCCACCAGGGACCGGUCCCCGAGAGCAAAAAACCUGCAGUUUGCAGAUUUUGAUUUCCAAAGCUCUCGAAGAUCCCCAGUAAUGCACUUUUGCAUUAUUUGGCGCCUUCGGCCUUUCCGAAGCGUACCAACCUCGCUCUUUGGUCAAUUUGACCAAGGUUCGAUGUUCGCUUACCGAAGUUUCGGUAUAUUACAUACCCACUCGACGACUAGUCGAUCCUGGACGAAGUCCAACUCUCGGCUCUCGAGAAUUCACUUCGUUACAACCAUACUAUGCCGGUACACAUGUUCCAGAAUUUCAGUUUCGCACCGCUUCGACUCCAAUUCGCGCCGAGCAAUGCUAAAACCUUUCUAACUCUUUUGGAACUCAACUUUAACCCUCCCAACAUUGUUGGAACGUUAAUUGAAACUUGUCCAACUAUUUCUCUCGACGCAUUUUGGUCAAUUCGACCAAAAGUGAUCUAACACGACGAGGAUUCCGCUAAUUUCUCAAAGAUCAUGAGGGCCGCCAAAACUCGCGAAGUUCCAAGUCUCCGCUCGCCUCAAAUUGCCUAGGGACACCACUUGGCCCAUCCCGCGCCGAUCUAAAUGAAGAUCGCCUACGCGGUGCUAUCGCUUCCUAAAACGCGACAACUCUAGUAAGCCUCGACCUUCUAGGUCGAACACGAGACACUUAAUACCGACUCCAAUCGGGCGAAAGUCAC